This is a long non-coding RNA of Triticum dicoccoides, 776 nucleotides long. RefSeq lists it as uncharacterized. The record is from RefSeq and is a predicted model, not a curated record. The transcript is spliced from 3 exons. NCBI's taxonomy places the organism in Eukaryota, Viridiplantae, Streptophyta, Magnoliopsida, Poales, Poaceae.
CCGCUACCGCUCGCCCCUCUCUCGCACGCCUCUUUCUCUCUCGCACGCCCCUUCUGGCCAAUCUCUCGACCACGCCCCCGCUCGGCCCCUUUGGCCAACCGCUCGCCCUGCCGCCGCUCGGCCCCUUCUCGCCAACCGCUCGCCCCGCCGCCGCUCGGCCCCGCCACCGCCCCGCGAACGGCUGCUCCGAUCAACAUCGACAGUUUCACGGCGGGCUAUUCGGCGGCGGGAGGAUUCGCGGCGUGCUGGGUGGUCUCGGCGUCGGAUGCCAUCGCGCGGGUUGCCGCCUCUGCUGCCGCUCUCCGAUCCUCCUGCUUCGACCGACCCCUCACAGGGGUUGUCCUUCUCCUUGCCGCGACAUCUUCCUCCCCAAUUCACUUCCUCUUCCCACCUGGUUGAUUAUUGAUUAUUAACUUCUCGGUUCUUACAGUCCUGGUGGUGAGGAUGCAGAGUGAUGUGGUGAGGAGCAACAGUUGCAGAGCAUUAGCACCGCGGCCAUUCAGUUCUAUGGUGGUGAAGUGCACACACGGACGAGGAAAGGAACGCAUAUAGAAGCUCAUGUAUUUGUUAUCUUAGUCCCUGAAUCAUUAUUCCUGUCCCGAAACUACUCGAUGUCCAAUACUUUGGUGCCUGACCACGAAUGUGCAAAGUUGUUCCUUCAACGCAAAGCUGCAAACGUGAUUUGAAAGUACCGGGUUUAUACAGUGGAGGAUCCUGAAUUGAUGCAUAUAUUGCCUCAAAAGGUGCAUCGGAAUUGUUUAUCUCAUUGCAUCAGA